Molecule: small nucleolar RNA, 108 nt
Filed under: Ricinus communis (castor bean)
Lineage: Eukaryota; Viridiplantae; Streptophyta; Magnoliopsida; Malpighiales; Euphorbiaceae
Description: Plant small nucleolar RNA R71
Rfam family: Plant small nucleolar RNA R71
About the family: R71 is a member of the C/D box family of snoRNAs containing the C (UGAUGA) and D (CUGA) box motifs. Multiple nearly identical copies of this snoRNA have been identified in Arabidopsis, and it is thought to function as a 2'-O-ribose methylation guide for 18S ribosomal RNA.
Source: Rfam by way of RNAcentral
GUAUGCAUGGUAUGGGCAUUGCAAUAAAAGUGAUUUGAAGUGAUCCCAUGCUUCACGAAAAGACUCAAUAUCCUUUUGAUAAAAAUUAAAAAUUUAAACUCUUAAUUC